GACGAACGCUGGCGGCGUGCUUAACACAUGCAAGUCGAACGGAAAGGCCCUGCUUUUGUGGGGUGCUCGAGUGGCGAACGGGUGAGUAACACGUGAGUAACCUGCCCUUGACUUUGGGAUAACUUCAGGGAACUGGGGCUAAUACCGGAUAGGAGCUCCUGCUGCAUGGUGGGGGUUGGAAAGUUUCGGCGGUUGGGGAUGGACUCGCGGCUUAUCAGCUUGUUGGUGGGGUAGUGGCUUACCAAGGCUUUGACGGGUAGCCGGCCUGAGAGGGUGACCGGCCACAUUGGGACUGAGAUACGGCCCAGACUCCUACGGGAGGCAGCAGUGGGGAAUAUUGCACAAUGGGCGGAAGCCUGAUGCAGCAACGCCGCGUGCGGGAUGACGGCCUUCGGGUUGUAAACCGCUUUCGCCUGUGACGAAGCGUGAGUGACGGUAAUGGGUAAAGAAGCACCGGCUAACUACGUGCCAGCAGCCGCGGUGAUACGUAGGGUGCGAGCGUUGUCCGGAUUUAUUGGGCGUAAAGGGCUCGUAGGUGGUUGAUCGCGUCGGAAGUGUAAUCUUGGGGCUUAACCCUGAGCGUGCUUUCGAUACGGGUUGACUUGAGGAAGGUAGGGGAGAAUGGAAUUCCUGGUGGAGCGGUGGAAUGCGCAGAUAUCAGGAGGAACACCAGUGGCGAAGGCGGUUCUCUGGGCCUUUCCUGACGCUGAGGAGCGAAAGCGUGGGGAGCGAACAGGCUUAGAUACCCUGGUAGUCCACGCUGUAAACGGUGGGUACUAGGUGUGGGGUCCAUUCCACGGGUUCCGUGCCGUAGCUAACGCUUUAAGUACCCCGCCUGGGGAGUACGGCCGCAAGGCUAAAACUCAAAGGAAUUGACGGGGCCCCGCACAAGCGGCGGAGCAUGCGGAUUAAUUCGAUGCAACGCGUAGAACCUUACCUGGGUUUGACAUGGAUCGGGAGUGCUCAGAGAUGGGUGUGCCUCUUUUGGGGUCGGUUCACAGGUGGUGCAUGGCUGUCGUCAGCUCGUGUCGUGAGAUGUUGGGUUAAGUCCCGCAACGAGCGCAACCCUUGUUCACUGUUGCCAGCACGUUAUGGUGGGGACUCAGUGGAGACCGCCGGGGUCAACUCGGAGGAAGGUGGGGAUGACGUCAAGUCAUCAUGCCCCUUAUGUCCAGGGCUUCACGCAUGCUACAAUGGCUGGUACAGAGAGUGGCGAGCCUGUGAGGGUGAGCGAAUCUCGGAAAGCCGGUCUCAGUUCGGAUUGGGGUCUGCAACUCGACCUCAUGAAGUCGGAGUCGCUAGUAAUCGCAGAUCAGCAACGCUGCGGUGAAUACGUUCCCGGG
Molecule: ribosomal RNA, 1343 nt
Filed under: uncultured bacterium
Lineage: Bacteria
Description: 16S ribosomal RNA
Rfam family: Bacterial small subunit ribosomal RNA
Source: RNAcentral